UCUACACAAGCAGCAGAAAAUGAAAAUUGAAUAUGUUAGUGCAUAUGACAAUAUUUCCUUUUACCAUGCAAAACUAUCUAGCAUCUUAUAUUAGUGAGGGUUAAACUGGGUCUCAACUCAACAAGACUAUAUUAGGAGGCAAAAGGUUGUUGAAAAAUGGUCAUCACUUUUGUUACAUGAGGAUCAUUCUGUAAAUUAAUGAUAGCAUCAGGCAACCAAUUAACUAUAAUGCAAAGGAAACAACUGCAUAAGACAGCAGUAAUGGAAAUGGGGAAUACUUACGGCAUUGGUGAAUGCAGACAAAACUUCUAGCCUUUUAUAUCUGAAAUGAAUGCACCACAUUAGUUAUGCUCAUAAUUAGGUAUUUGAAAUUUGAAAUUAUUAACCAAGAAAGUAAAUAAGAGUUCAAAUAAUGUGUAACACACAGACAAAGUUCCAGUUAUGAGUGAAUCCACCAUUAAUUAACUGUUGGACAAAUACAUAAUCUUGCAUGAUGCAAGCACAGACAAGAAGACACAUGGGAUAAAUUUUUAAUAGUGCAUGAGAUGCAUUACAGGCACACCUAGACACAUGGCCAUGAAAAACUUCAAAGUCCAACAGAUGUCAGUAUAACCACAGCCAUCUUCAACAAAUCCAUCUCUUUGUUGUCCAAAAAUAGUUUAAAACUCCAACUCUAACAUUAUAUGAGAACUAGCUCAUGGUAUAAAAUUAAGAAUAACUAUGUUCAUGAAAAGAUAAACACAUCACUCAAAUGUUUCACAAUGCACAACUUUGUCAUACAAAUUCAAACAUACCUUACUAAUUCUACAAAGUGAAUGUUUGAUACUACCAAGAGUUUUUCUAUUUUUCCUUUUGCUCUUUACCAAUGUGAAGAACAUACUUCACAGUUUACACACGAAAAUACUCACACACUACAUAAUGAAGGAUGUAUUUACCCAUAAGUAUAUUCUCGAUCAGGUUUGUUCCUUGAUGCAGCCAUAACAAAUAGAGAAAAUGUCAAAAGACCACAUCCAAAAGUCAAAUGAAACGCAUCAGACACCAGACCUGAAAAAAAAAAAUAAAGGAACCGAGGGUCCAACUUUAACAAAAUUGAGCUCUGCAUAAAAUCAUAUAUCAUAAAAUCUCACAAAAACUCACACAGAAUCUUACCAACACGGCCAGUGAAGAGGCCAAAGAGCAACUCAACAGUAGAGUAGGCCACAUUCAAAGAGAUCAUCAAAAAGAGUCUCUUCAUGUACCUAUGACCAGACCUAAUAUUCCUAAACACACCAAAAACGAAGGAAGGAAAAGACGAUCUUUCCGUGGACCCAGUGAGCUUGUCGUAACGGUGCACCGGGUUGGGAAUGUCUAUGCUGGAAUCAGUUCGGGACAAAAAAGGUCUCCCCGAAUCGACGGCAAUCGGCGUAUGAGGCUGCUGCUGCUGUUGGAACGAAGUUUGCCGCGAAAACGCGAACCUUCGAUCGCUGCCGGUACCGAACCCGAAAUCGCCGUUCAUGGAGCUCCGUGGUGAGUCUCGAGCUUCCAUCUUCGGGUCCCAGAAACGAAACCGGAUAAAGAUCCGAACUUCGGAGUUUGGAGGAAAAGAUACUGAUUCUGAAUCAGCUUUUUACCAUGCAAAACUAUCUAGCAUCUUAUAUUAGUGAGGGUUAAACUGGGUCUCAACUCAACAAGACUAUAUUAGGAGGCAAAAGGUUGUUGAAAAAUGGUCAUCACUUUUGUUACAUGAGGAUCAUUCUGUAAAUUAAUGAUAGCAUCAGGCAACCAAUUAACUAUAAUGCAAAGGAAACAACUGCAUAAGACAGCAGUAAUGGAAAUGGGGAAUACUUAC
RNAcentral lists this long non-coding RNA (1828 nucleotides) under Arachis ipaensis. Its description in RNAcentral is "long non-coding RNA (AIPA_LNC001379)". Lineage: Eukaryota; Viridiplantae; Streptophyta; Magnoliopsida; Fabales; Fabaceae. The record is from RNAcentral.